GGGUUAGCUCAGUGGGUUGGGCUGUGGUGCUGACAACACCAAGGUUGCAGGUUCGAUCCAGCUGUAUAUCCCUGCAUUUCA
Non-coding RNA from Podarcis lilfordi (Lilford's wall lizard), 81 nucleotides. NCBI's taxonomy places the organism in Eukaryota, Metazoa, Chordata, Lepidosauria, Squamata, Lacertidae. The record is from the annotation of a GenBank genome assembly.